UACGAAGGGGGCUAGCGUUGUUCGGAAUUACUGGGCGUAAAGGGCGCGUAGGCGGUGUGUCAAGUCAGGCGUGAAAGCCCCGGGCUCAACCUGGGAACCGCGCUUGAGACUGGCACGCUAGAGUUCGGGAGAGGAUGGUGGAAUUCCCAGUGUAGGAGGUGAAAUUCGUAGAUAUUGGGAAGAACACCGAUGGCGAAGGCAGCCAUCUGGACCGACACUGACGCUGAGGCGCGAAAGCGUGGGGAGCAAACAGG
This 254-nucleotide ribosomal RNA is filed under the name uncultured bacterium. RNAcentral's name for it is "partial 16S ribosomal RNA". It matches the Rfam family "Bacterial small subunit ribosomal RNA", at positions 524 to 776 of the family's 1533-position model. The record is from RNAcentral.